UACGAAGGGGGCGAGCGUUGUUCGGAUUUACUGGGCGCAAAGGGCGCGCAGGCGGCUCAUUUUGUCAGGCGUGAAAGCCCCGGGCUUAACCUGGGAACUGCGUUUGAUACGGAUGGGCUAGAGUUCGGGAGAGGAGCGUGGAAUUCCCAGUGUAGAGGUGAAAUUCGUAGAUAUUCGGAAGAACACCAGUGGCGAAGGCGACUUACUGGACACAUAUUGACGCUGAGGUGCGAAAGCGUGGGGAGCAAACAGG
Molecule: ribosomal RNA, 253 nt
Filed under: uncultured bacterium
Lineage: Bacteria
Description: partial 16S ribosomal RNA
Rfam family: Bacterial small subunit ribosomal RNA
Source: RNAcentral